UACGUAGGGUCCGAGCGUUGUCCGGAAUUACUGGGCGUAAAGAGCUCGUAGGUGGUUUGUCGCGUUGUCCGUGAAAACUCACAGCUUAACUGUGGGCGUGCGGGCGAUACGGGCAGACUAGAGUACUGCAGGGGAGACUGGAAUUCCUGGUGUAGCGGUGGAAUGCGCAGAUAUUCGGAGGAACACCGAUGGCGAAGGCAGGUCUCUGGGCCGCAACUGACGCUGAGGAGCGAAAGCGUGGGGAGCGAACAGG
This 253-nucleotide ribosomal RNA is filed under the name uncultured bacterium. Its description in RNAcentral is "partial 16S ribosomal RNA". It matches the Rfam family "Bacterial small subunit ribosomal RNA", at positions 524 to 776 of the family's 1533-position model. The record is from RNAcentral.